This is a long non-coding RNA of Manis javanica (Malayan pangolin), 2809 nucleotides long. RefSeq lists it as uncharacterized. The record is from RefSeq and is a predicted model, not a curated record. Lineage: Eukaryota; Metazoa; Chordata; Mammalia; Pholidota; Manidae.
ACUCCAGGACCGGGAUAGGGGACCACGGAGGUGGUUCCUGGGCUACAGGGCCCACGACAGCUGGCUGAGCCCCGCGCUGGAGACCCGGACUGCGGGUAAAGCCGAAGACACCUGGCCGGGCCUGGCGAGCUCACAAGAUAGAGAAGGAGGAAUGGCAUGCUCCACCGUUCACUUACUCAAAAAAACCCAUCUUUCUAUGCACCAGGCGCUGAGGGUACAGUCUCAAAUUUCUGCCCUGGAAAGGGCUUCUGGUGGAAAUGGCCCCUGAGUUGGGUAUUGGAAGAUACAUGAGAGGGAGUCAGCUCGGUGAAGAAGGGAAUUUGAACAUUCCCUGCAAAUGGAGCAUCCCAGGCAAAGUCCUGGAGGUCAGAAUGUGAAUGGCCAACCUGUAGAACUGGAAACUUGCCCAGCGUCUAUAACAAAAGAAGCCCCAGAACUGGACCACAGCAGCCACUAGGUGGAUGAAGAAGCCCAUGAGACCAGCUAUGAGCCAAGUGGCCCUGAAAAAACUAAGCAUUGUGGCAGGUCCCUGGGAUCUACCUUCUAGUGUCUGAAGUGACGUCCCUUGGAGGCCAAGUGUGAAAGCCAGUGGUACUCUAUAAACAUGAGGUUACAUUCCUAAAUAUCCAACAACAUACUGAGGCCAAACCCUCUGGCAAAUGAAUGGAGGCUGGAAAAGGAGUGGGUGAAGGUAUUUGAGAGCAGGGCUGUAACAAUACCUAACGUGGUAGUUCAUGAGGCACCAGGCUCUGCAGUAAGCCUUCACAUGAUUGAUCUCAUUUCAUCUUCACAACAGUCCUAUUUGCAGAUGAAAACACAAAAGCUGCAAGGGAACUUCAGGGGUUACAGGAUGUGCCCGUGUUAGAAGGGGACAGUCUGGCUGCCCACACUGUAUCACAUGGCAGAAGAGAGACUGUCACUCCAGGUUUGCUUGCAGCAAAUAGCAAGCAUGGCCUGUGCCAAGGCCACUGCAAGAUUGGGGAUGGGAACUCAGGAGAAGGAGGAAGACAAGGAGUCAGCAUAAAGACUUGUGAAAAGAGAAGCCCAAUGAAAGGAGUCUACAGCCAAAGCGGUGACAGUAGACUCUUAAGUGAAUGGGUCCCAUGAUCUUAAGGCAAUGUCCUGGGCAUUAAAGACUCAUGGGAGCCAAGUUCAUUGAAAAACUGAGGCCCCUGAACAAAACCUCAGUGAGGCUGAGAGAGGCUCAGAGAAUUGUGCCUGCCAGUGGCCAGUCUGUUACUGGUGCAGGGAAGAUGGGCAGGAGGGAGAGGCCAUCUCUAGUCACCAGAAGGACACCCUCCACUACCUUUAGCCCAUAGAGAGCUCAGAAUAGAGCUUGAGGGUGACUAUCUCAGGCCUUCAAGAGGCAACAUUCAGCCCAAACAACAUCUAGCUGUCCUGCCCCAGUGGGAGGUUUAGGUGGACCCCACAGCGUGGGAGCAUGACUGAAAGGAAGACUAGAUUUGGGGCCACUGUGGAAAGCAGUUGCAGUUUCCUCAUUCUCAAGGACCUCUUUAAUCACUAUCAGACUCUUCCCCUUCAGACUGCCAGGAUAGAUGGGUCCUCUGAGGUUUUGGGACUGGUAUUCAUCCAUUCCCAUGGAAUUGCUAGGGUUGCUUGAAUCCUAUAAAGCAACAGAAAUAGUAGCUGGGAUUAUAUCAAAUUUUCAAGCCUUAUUAAAUGACAGGUGCCCAAAUUCAUUGCCAGAAGGCCCAGACUACAAGAAAGGCUAAUGAAAUUCUUUAAGCUGAAGGAAAAUGACAUCAGAUGGAAGCUUGGGUCUAUAGGAAGGAAUAAAGAAUACUGGAAAAGGCAACUGUACAUAAAAGACUUUUUUCUCUCAAUUUCUUUAAAGACAAAUUACUAUUUAAAUAAAAAACAAUAACAAUAUGUUGUUUUAUCAUGAAGUAGAGGAAGAUCACAAUGGAAUUACAGUGUUGUAAGGUUCUUACAUUAUACAUGAAGAGGGCAAAACAUGUAAGUUAAAUAUUGUAAUCCUUAGAGUAACUACCAAAAAAAAAGGUACUUCUAAAAACCCAAUAGAGGAGAUAAUAUGGGAUAUUAAAAUAUUCUCAGUCCAAAUAGAGGAUGCAAAUAAAGGACACAAGUACAGAUAGAAAAAAUAGCAAGAUGAUAGACUUAAAUAACUAUGUCAAGAAUUACAUUAAUUGUAAAUGAUUAAAUAUUUUAAUUAAAGGCAGAGAUUGUCAGAACGCAUAAAAACGUAAUAUCCAAAGGUAUGCUAUCUACGAAAACUCACUUAAAAUAUAAAGACACAGACUAGUUAAAAGGAUGGAAGAGAUAUAAGAAAUUAGAAAUCUGAAAUGGUUAUAUUCAUAUCAGACUAAGUAAAUUUAAGGCAAAAAAUAUUGCCAGAGAUAAAGAGGAUCCUUAUGUAAUUAUAAAAGAGUCAAUUAAUCAUCAAGUGCUAACAAUUCUAAGUUGGGUAUUCUCCUCAUCACACAGCUUCAAAAUAUAUAAAGCAAAGAUGCACAGAACUAAAUGGAUAAAUAACUCCAAAAUUAUAAAUGGAAAUUUUAACAUCCCUAUCUCUGUAACUGCCAGAAGAUAUGGAAGAUCUAAACACAAGUCAUCAACCAACUUGACUUAAUUGAUAUUUAUAGAAUGUGCCACCCAAUAACUGCAAAAUGAAUUAUCGGUGCCCUUUGCAAGACACAGAAGGAUGAUAACAUUUUUUUGUCUUUAAAAAUGACCCUCAAAGUAAAUUACAGUAUAAAUAUAUACCGUGGCAUAUAACUCAGCAAUAAAAAGAAAUGAAUCAUUGAUACUAUGACUUGGCUGAAUCUUC